UUUGGGAUAUAGCUCAGUGAUAAAGCACUUACCUAGCAUUGUAUGAGGCCCUGGGUUCAAUCCCCAGUACCAAAA
This 75-nucleotide transfer RNA is filed under the name Marmota monax (woodchuck). Its description in RNAcentral is "tRNA.Ala". It matches the Rfam family "tRNA". Rfam says of the family: Transfer RNA (tRNA) molecules are approximately 80 nucleotides in length. Their secondary structure includes four short double-helical elements and three loops (D, anti-codon, and T loops). Further hydrogen bonds mediate the characteristic L-shaped molecular structure. tRNAs have two regions of fundamental functional importance: the anti-codon, which is responsible for specific mRNA codon recognition, and the 3' end, to which the tRNAs corresponding amino acid is attached (by aminoacyl-tRNA synthetases). tRNAs cope with the degeneracy of the genetic code in two manners: having more than one tRNA (with a specific anti-codon) for a particular amino acid; and 'wobble' base-pairing, i.e. permitting non-standard base-pairing at the 3rd anti-codon position. Lineage: Eukaryota; Metazoa; Chordata; Mammalia; Rodentia; Sciuridae. The record is from RNAcentral.